RNAcentral lists this transfer RNA (72 nucleotides) under Bacteroidales bacterium. Its description in RNAcentral is "tRNA-Glu". It matches the Rfam family "tRNA". Rfam says of the family: Transfer RNA (tRNA) molecules are approximately 80 nucleotides in length. Their secondary structure includes four short double-helical elements and three loops (D, anti-codon, and T loops). Further hydrogen bonds mediate the characteristic L-shaped molecular structure. tRNAs have two regions of fundamental functional importance: the anti-codon, which is responsible for specific mRNA codon recognition, and the 3' end, to which the tRNAs corresponding amino acid is attached (by aminoacyl-tRNA synthetases). tRNAs cope with the degeneracy of the genetic code in two manners: having more than one tRNA (with a specific anti-codon) for a particular amino acid; and 'wobble' base-pairing, i.e. permitting non-standard base-pairing at the 3rd anti-codon position. Lineage: Bacteria; Pseudomonadati; Bacteroidota; Bacteroidia; Bacteroidales. The record is from RNAcentral.
GGUCCAUUCGUCUAGCGGUUAGGACGCCAGGUUUUCAUCCUGGUAGCAGGGGUUCGAUUCCCCUAUGGACUG